UACACACCGCCCGUCACACCAUGGGAGGCCGGAGAUGCCCGAAGUCAGUGGCCCAACCGCAAGGAGGGAGCUGCCGAAGGCAGUGCUGGUGACUGGGGUGAAGUCGUAACAAGGUAAC
RNAcentral lists this ribosomal RNA (118 nucleotides) under uncultured bacterium. RNAcentral's name for it is "partial 16S ribosomal RNA". It matches the Rfam family "Bacterial small subunit ribosomal RNA", at positions 1384 to 1500 of the family's 1533-position model. The record is from RNAcentral.